CCUUCUUCCUCCCGCUUUCUCCGGAGUUACUGGGCGUAAAGCGCGGGCAGGCGGUUCUUCAAGUCUGAUGUGAAAUCUCCUCGCUCAACGGGGAGCAGCCAUUGGAAACUAGAGAACUGGAGUCUGACAGAGGUAGGCGGAAUUCCGGGUGGAGUGGUGAAAUGCGUAGAGAUCCGGAGGAACACCAGAGGCGAAGGCGGCCUACUGGGUCAGUACUGACGCUGAGCCGCGAAAGCCAGGGGAGCGAACGGGA
RNAcentral lists this ribosomal RNA (253 nucleotides) under uncultured prokaryote. RNAcentral describes it as "partial 16S ribosomal RNA". It matches the Rfam family "Bacterial small subunit ribosomal RNA", at positions 525 to 777 of the family's 1533-position model. The record is from RNAcentral.